UGUGGGAGCGAGCUUGCUCGCGAUAGCGGUGUGUCAGUCUCCCUUCAUGUCGGCUGGUUAGUUGCUAUCGCGAGCAAGCUCGCUCCCACU
This 90-nucleotide unclassified non-coding RNA is filed under the name Pseudomonas thivervalensis. Lineage: Bacteria; Pseudomonadati; Pseudomonadota; Gammaproteobacteria; Pseudomonadales; Pseudomonadaceae. The record is from RNAcentral.